Molecule: non-coding RNA, 74 nt
Organism: Podarcis lilfordi (Lilford's wall lizard)
Lineage: Eukaryota; Metazoa; Chordata; Lepidosauria; Squamata; Lacertidae
Source: the annotation of a GenBank genome assembly
GCCUGCAUAGUUCAGUUGGUUGCAGCAUGGUGCUGAUAACGUCAAGGUUUCAGGUUCGAUCCCCGUACGAGACA